GUGAAGAGGCCACUGUGUGUGUUGAUGAACAUGGGCACCAGCCCGUCCUUCUUCCCAGACAGGGAGUGGAUGUGCCUCGUCACCUCCUCUGCAGCCUCCUGUGGAGCGCGAGGGACGGUAGGUAAACUGCAGGAAAAACCCUCAAGAGCCA
This is a long non-coding RNA of Perognathus longimembris pacificus (Pacific pocket mouse), 151 nucleotides long. RefSeq lists it as uncharacterized. Lineage: Eukaryota; Metazoa; Chordata; Mammalia; Rodentia; Heteromyidae. The record is from RefSeq and is a predicted model, not a curated record. The transcript is spliced from 4 exons.